UACGUAGGGGGCAAGCGUUGUCCGGAAUUAUUGGGCGUAAAGCGCUCGCAGGUGGUUCGUCGCGUCGUGCGUGAAAGACCCCGGCUCAACUGGGGAGUGUCGUGCGAUACGGGCGGACUGGAGGCCAGUAGGGGGAUGCGGAAUUUCGGGUGUAGUGGUGGAAUGCGUAGAGAUCCGGAGGAACACCAGCGGCGAAGGCGGCGUCCUGGACUGGUCCUGACACUCAGGAGCGAAAGCGUGGGGAGCGAUCCGG
Molecule: ribosomal RNA, 253 nt
Filed under: uncultured bacterium
Lineage: Bacteria
Description: partial 16S ribosomal RNA
Rfam family: Bacterial small subunit ribosomal RNA
Source: RNAcentral